UACGUAGGGGGCAAGCGUUGUCCGGAUUCAUUGGGCGUAAAGGGCGUGUAGGCGGCCAGGUAGGUCGGUUGUGAAAACUGGAGGCUCAACCUUCAGAGGUCGACCGAAACCAUCUGGCUAGAGUCCGGGAGAGGAGAGUGGAAUUCCCAGUGUAGCGGUGAAAUGCGUAGAUACUGGGAGGAACACCAGUGGCGAAGGCGGCUACCUGGACCGGUUCUGACGCUGAGGCGCGAAAGCGUGGGUAGCAAACAGG
This 253-nucleotide ribosomal RNA is filed under the name uncultured bacterium. RNAcentral's name for it is "partial 16S ribosomal RNA". It matches the Rfam family "Bacterial small subunit ribosomal RNA", at positions 524 to 776 of the family's 1533-position model. The record is from RNAcentral.